Molecule: unclassified non-coding RNA, 1453 nt
Filed under: Hevea brasiliensis (rubber tree)
Lineage: Eukaryota; Viridiplantae; Streptophyta; Magnoliopsida; Malpighiales; Euphorbiaceae
Source: RNAcentral
GCUACAGAUAUUCACUUCUAAACAUAAAGUUCCCUCUUUGUGGUUUAAGUUGUUUCUCCUCUUCUACCUCAAAACUCAGCAUCAACACAACUAUUCCAGGUGAACAGAACCAUGACAACCUGCGAAUUUUCUCUUUAGAGGAACUGGAAAUCGCCACUCAUGGCUUCUCUUACUCGAACAAAAUUGGAAAAGGUGCCUUAGGUUCUGUGUACAGGGGCCGUUUGCAGGAUUGUUCUAUUGUAGCUGUGAAGGUUCUUUCUGUGGAGAUUGAAUCGAUGCGAGUAGAGAGAGAAUUCAUAUCUGAAUUAGCUGCACUAUCUAGUAUCAAGCAUGAAAAUCUUGUUAAAUUUCAAGGUUGCUGUGUUGAUGGAACCAGCAGAUUUUUGGUCUACGAUUACAUGGAAAACAAUAGCCUAGCACAGACCCUACUUGGCAAAGAGCGAAACAGGAUGAAAUUUAGCUGGGAAGCUAGGAGGGACAUUUCUUUAGGAGUUGCUCGUGGACUUGCCUAUCUUCAUGAGGAGGUUGAACCUCAAAUUGUGCAUAGGGAUAUAAAAGCAAGCAAUAUACUUCUUGAUCAAAAUUUUACUUCCAAAGUUGCUGAUUUUGGUCUUCCCAGGAUACUUAGAGACAAGGUUUCCCAUGUUAGUACUCGAGUUGCAGGGACAUUGUAAGUGGUAUCUGCAUUAUUGUUUUCUUUGUUUAUACUGCUAAAUUAAGAAAAACACCAUAGCUAAUGAGAUAUCUUGGAUUCACAAAUGCAAAAAUAAGAGGAUACCUUGCUUCAGAACACGCCAUUAAGGGACAUUUGAGUCGAAAAUCGGUUGUUUACAGUUUCGUAGUACUGCUGUUGGAAAUUAUCAGUGGGCGAUCUGCAGUGGAUUUUGACUUGGAACUUGGUGAAAAUUGCCUAGUUCAAAAGGUAAAAAUGUUAAUCACAUGCUUAGUCAUUAUUAUGAUUGCUCUUGGAAUUGGAUUAUGAAUACCUUCACCACAGCCUUGUGUUCUUGUUUAGACGAUGCCCUUUUCUCUGUGUGUGUGUGUUUGUGUGAAUAUCUGCAGGCUUGGCAAGCAUAAGAGGCCAGCAAACUUAUACAAUUAGUAGACCCUACUCUUACUAUGAAUUUCCCACAAGAAGAAGCUCUUCAGUUCUUGAAGGUGAGCCUUCUUUGCGUACAAGAAGUAGCCAGGCUCCGGCCACAAAUGUCAGCGGCCGUUAAAUUGUUGAAUAAUGAAACUGAUAUCCGAAAUGUUCAGAUUUCUCAACCUGGAGUUGCAUCAAAUUUCAAACGUAUCAGAUUACAUCAGGAACACACAUCUGAAAGCACUUCCUCCGGGGGAUCAACCAUCAUGAGCUUGCCUAGUACUACAUAUUUUUAGUCCAUUACGCCUGUUAUAGAGACGGAGAAAGGGAAAGAAAAUAUUGUUUUUGCUUGUAUGAUAUCAAAAGGGC